GCCGCUGUCGGCCGCGGGGCUGAGUCUGAUCGGCGCGGACGGCAAGGCCGGGUUCGACGAUCCGGCGGCGGCCC
RNAcentral lists this transfer RNA (74 nucleotides) under Streptomyces kronopolitis. Its description in RNAcentral is "tRNA-Pro". Lineage: Bacteria; Bacillati; Actinomycetota; Actinomycetes; Kitasatosporales; Streptomycetaceae. The record is from RNAcentral. RNAcentral also lists the same sequence under 1 other name.